CAACUGAGCUAUCCAGGCGCCCUGCUUAUCACUUUUCUAACUGAAAUAUUUUUUUCAUUCACUAAUUAGUCACAGUCAUUUUGUUUUGAUGCAUUUCCAAAUGUUAUGCUACUGUCAAAUACAACUACCCUUUCUGUACAGGUGUUCAAUUUUGAAACAUCUACAGGAAUGACACCAGUAAAAGUGAUUAGAGAAUUAAAAUAGUAUUUCCUUUAGAACAGCAGAGGUUAUGAGUUACAUGACUGUUUUUAUACUAAGAGAGCAGGUCUUGAACCUGACACUGGCGCCUUUAGUGUCGAGAACAUCAACACAAGUGCGCUUAGAACAGUGUAUUUGACUUUAUUGUAUUUAACCUCAUAAUAAAGUGCACCUCCUAAGUAUUAAACUCACAACCAUCAUGUUCUUCCAACCAGCGUUCCACCACGCUGAGCUAUCUGAUCCAACACACUUAACUACUGUAUUGAUAAGUUCUUGACUUGCUCAUUUUCAGGUUCAUAAUUGUAUUUAGAGGUUGUACCAGAAUAGGUUUAUGUGGUUUGAUUUUCAGAAAACACUGUAUAUUUGUUGUACUGCAGCUCCUCUUUUCACACUCUUUUUUUUGUGUUGAGCGCUCUGUUUUAACUACAGAGUGAGACAUGUAUAAUAUCAGCGCAGUUAAUACAAACCCCAGUCUCCUGGGUGAAAGUCUUCAUGUUUCUGGAUGUUAAACCUUAUAGUGUACCUUGUGAGUAUUGAACUCAUGACCAUUGUGUUCUUCCAACCAGCGUUCCAUCACGCUGAGCUAUAUUGAACCCUCAACCUCCAGUCUUCAUGAGAUUUGAACCUUCACCUUAUCUUACUGAGCUAUUUGCAAAGUUUGUAAAGGCUCUGGUUGGAAGUUGUAUUUAUCGUUCACAUUUCAGAGGAGAGAAGUUGAAAAACUGUCAAGACAAAUGUGGGAUUUGAUCCUUCAACCUCAGAUUGUUGAGUCAGUAACUUAUCUCUGUGAGCUAUUCCUAAUUAAUCAAUUAAGUUAUCAACCAAUUAACAGAUCAAUUAACAAAUCAAUCAACCAAUUAAUCAAUCAAUUUGAUUUGUCACAUGAAAUCAAUUAGUCUACAAGGACAAAGUGUGAACAACAAAUAAUAGAACGGAAACUUGAACUAUCAGCUUGAGGAAUAGCUCACUGAGAUAAGCUUCUGACUCAACAAGCUGAGGUUGAAGGAUCAAAUCCCACAUUUGUCUUGACAGUUUUUCAACGUCUUUCCUCUGAAAUGUGAACGAUAAAUACAACUUCCAACCAAAAUAAGUGUAUCAGAUCAGAUAGCUCAGUGUGAUGGAACGCUGGUUGGAAGAACACAGUGGUUGUGAGUUCAAUACCCAUGAGGUCCACUUCAUUAAGAGGUUUAACACCCAGAAACACCAAGUCUUUCACAGAAAAAUUAUUUCUUUCCUAAACCCAAGAGUUCGUGUUAACUGCGUACUGUAACUGUUGGAGGUGGCGGCAGAGGUGGUGGCAGAGUCGAAUGAGCAUCAGCCCUUCACCCAGGAGACUCAGGUUCACAUCCAGUGUUCCCUGGUAGGAUGUGCAUAAGGUAGGCACCACCCCGAAGGGGUGGUGCCUACCGGCAAGACAGUAGUAAAG
This is a long non-coding RNA of Sander lucioperca (pikeperch), 1624 nucleotides long. RefSeq lists it as uncharacterized. The record is from RefSeq and is a predicted model, not a curated record. Lineage: Eukaryota; Metazoa; Chordata; Actinopteri; Perciformes; Percidae. The transcript has 3 exons.